GGCACUGUAGCUCAGUUGGUAGAGCACAUGCUUAACAAGUCGCGUCGUGCCCGCAUGUUGUCGUCGGUUCGAGCCCGGCCAGAGUCA
RNAcentral lists this transfer RNA (87 nucleotides) under Puccinia triticina. Its description in RNAcentral is "tRNA-Val". It matches the Rfam family "tRNA". From Rfam's summary of the family: Transfer RNA (tRNA) molecules are approximately 80 nucleotides in length. Their secondary structure includes four short double-helical elements and three loops (D, anti-codon, and T loops). Further hydrogen bonds mediate the characteristic L-shaped molecular structure. tRNAs have two regions of fundamental functional importance: the anti-codon, which is responsible for specific mRNA codon recognition, and the 3' end, to which the tRNAs corresponding amino acid is attached (by aminoacyl-tRNA synthetases). tRNAs cope with the degeneracy of the genetic code in two manners: having more than one tRNA (with a specific anti-codon) for a particular amino acid; and 'wobble' base-pairing, i.e. permitting non-standard base-pairing at the 3rd anti-codon position. Lineage: Eukaryota; Fungi; Basidiomycota; Pucciniomycetes; Pucciniales; Pucciniaceae. RNAcentral also lists the same sequence under 1 other name. The record is from RNAcentral.